RNAcentral lists this ribosomal RNA (448 nucleotides) under uncultured bacterium. RNAcentral describes it as "bacterial SSU rRNA". It matches the Rfam family "Bacterial small subunit ribosomal RNA", at positions 330 to 794 of the family's 1533-position model. The record is from RNAcentral.
GCCAGACUCCUACGGGAGGCAGCAGUGGGGGAUAUUGCACAAUGGGGGGAACCCUGAUGCAGCGACGCCGCGUGGGUGAAGGAGUACUUCGGUACGUAAAGCCCUAUCAGCAGGAAAGAAAAUGACGGUACCUGACUAAGAAGCCCCGGCUAACUACGUGCCAGCAGCCGCGGUAAUACGUAGGGGGCGAGCGUUAUCCGGAUUCACUGGGUGUAAAGGGAGCGUAGACGGCCAAGCAAGCCAGGGGUGAAAGCCCGGGGCCCAACCCCGGGACUGCCCCUGGAACUGCAUGGCUGGAGUGCGGGAGGGGCAGGCGGAAUUCCUGGUGUAGCGGUGAAAUGCGUAGAUAUCAGGAGGAACACCGGCGGCGAAGGCGGCCUGCUGGACCGCGACUGACGUUGAGGCUCGAAAGCGUGGGGAGCGAACAGGAUUAGAUACCCUGGUACGA